Molecule: non-coding RNA, 28 nt
Filed under: Rattus norvegicus (Norway rat)
Lineage: Eukaryota; Metazoa; Chordata; Mammalia; Rodentia; Muridae
Source: RNAcentral
UGGCCCACAGACGUGUAUCCAGAACCAC